Molecule: ribosomal RNA, 425 nt
Filed under: uncultured bacterium
Lineage: Bacteria
Description: partial 16S ribosomal RNA
Rfam family: Bacterial small subunit ribosomal RNA
Source: RNAcentral
GUAGGGAAUAUUGGACAAUGGGGGCAACCCUGAUCCAGCAAUGCCGCGUGAGUGAUGAAGGCCUUAGGGUUGUAAAGCUCUUUUACCCGGGAUGAUAAUGACAGUACCGGGAGAAUAAGCUCCGGCUAACUCCGUGCCAGCAGCCGCGGUAAUACGGAGGGAUCUAGCGUUGUUCGGAAUUACUGGGCGUAAAGCGCGCGUAGGCGCCUGUUUAAGUAAGUGGUGAAAGCCUGGAGCUCAACUCCAGUACUGCCUUUGAGACUGGAAAGCUAGAAUCCUGGAGAGGUGAGUGGAAUUCCGAGUGUAGAGGUGAAAUUCGUAGAUAUUCGGAAGAACACCAGUGGCGAAGGCGGCUCACUGGACAGAUAUUGACGCUGAGGUGCGAAAGCGUGGGGAGCAAACAGGAUUAGAAACCCUGGUAGUCC